CAAGGAGAGGGUGCACAGCUGCUUAAUGGGGAAAGGUAUAGUAGGAAAGAAUUCACUGCAGUCCUCCUGUGGAUCUCUGCAGCAGAGUUACUUGUCCCUAAGGUUUUCUGGCAGCUGGUGGACCUUGGUGUUUUCACAAUGGCAAAAGGGAGUAAAGAUGACAGCACAGCACUGAUUAUGAAUCCCUUACAUGUGCAUGCAUUUCCUUGUGGUCAUAAAGCCAGGAUGAAAAUUUGCAUGAGAUACAAGGCCAAUGGAGGGACUGGAGCAGACAAAUGCUGUGAUUAAGAUGAAGCAGAAGAUAUGUCAAGCUCCUGUUCUUGCAGAUGGAAGCUGUACGAAGGGUAUAUGGACUCUUUGCCUCAGUGCCAUACUUAUGCAGCACUGGUAUUGGCACUCAAGACUGGUGGAGGAGAUCAAGAAAGCCAGUUGCCAGUGCUUUCCAGCUGCAAAGUCAUGGCAUAGAUCAGUCAUCAAAUAGAUGACACGUGGUUUAAGUUGUAAUAAGAGGCAAAGAUGAGCUGCUACAAGGAUCCAGUGCUUAGCCCUUUCCAUCUCAACUUACAGGAAUUAAAAAUUUUCAAGUGAGAAGUAAGGCCAGUAAAGGGACUGAAGCAAUAAAUUGGUUCU
Long non-coding RNA from Alligator mississippiensis (American alligator), 630 nucleotides. RefSeq lists it as uncharacterized. Lineage: Eukaryota; Metazoa; Chordata; Crocodylia; Alligatoridae. The record is from RefSeq and is a predicted model, not a curated record. The transcript has 4 exons.